UACGUAGGGUGCAAGCGUUAAUCGGAAUUACUGGGCGUAAAGCGUGCGCAGGCGGUUCGCUAAGACAGAUGUGAAAUCCCCGGGCUUAACCUGGGAACUGCAUUUGUGACUGGCGGGCUAGAGUAUGGCAGAGGGGGGUAGAAUUCCACGUGUAGCAGUGAAAUGCGUAGAGAUGUGGAGGAAUACCAAUGGCGAAGGCAGCCCCCUGGGUUAACACUGACGCUCAUGCACGAAAGCGUGGGGAGCAAACAGGG
This 254-nucleotide ribosomal RNA is filed under the name uncultured bacterium. Its description in RNAcentral is "partial 16S ribosomal RNA". It matches the Rfam family "Bacterial small subunit ribosomal RNA", at positions 524 to 777 of the family's 1533-position model. The record is from RNAcentral.